Molecule: non-coding RNA, 215 nt
Organism: Pelobates cultripes (western spadefoot toad)
Lineage: Eukaryota; Metazoa; Chordata; Amphibia; Anura; Pelobatidae
Source: the annotation of a GenBank genome assembly
GCACAUCGCAUAAUGGCGAAUCCCCAUACAUCAUGCAAAUGAUUGCAUACAUCAGAUUCAGCAAUUAAUGAAUUUUGUAGGUAGGCUUCGAGGUACAAGCUAGACUCCCCAAGGUGGGGGUUGUAAGGUAUUCUCUGUUUUUAACAAAAAUAAAAUAACAAAAAUUCAGGCAUAUUAUUCAGCUCAGUUAACUUUGUAAAGCUCUUUACAAAUAC